AGUUUGAUUCUAUCGCCAGAUUGAACGCUGGCGGGAUGCUUUACACAUGCGAGUCGAACGGCAGCACGACUUCCGGUCUGGUGGAAAGAGCGGAGAACGGUGAGGUAAUGUAUCGGAACGUGCCUAUAGCGGGGGAUAACUACGCGAAAGUUGAAGCAUACCGGGCAUACGCCCUUCGGGGGAAAGCGGGGACCCGGGCCUCGCACUAUUAGAGCGGCCGAUAUCGGAUUAGCUAAGUUGGUGGGGUAACGGCUCACCAAGGCGACGACCCGUAGCUGAAGCCGAGAGGACGACCAGCCACACUGGGACUGAGACACGGCCCAGACUUACGGGAGGCAGCAGUGGGGAAUUUUGACAAUGGGGGAAACCCCGAUCCAGCCAUCCGCGUGUGCGAUGAAGGCCUUCGGGCGAAAGCUAAUUUUUUGGUAGGAAAGAAAACGGCACGGGAUAAUACUCCCUGUGCAACUGACGGUACUGCAGAAUAAGCACCGGCUAACUAUGUGUCAGCAGCCGCGGUAAUACGUAGGUGCAAGCGUUAAUCGGAAUUACUGGGCGUAAAGCGCGGUGCGGUUCGGAAAGAAAGAUGUGAAAUCCCAGAGCUUAACUUUGAAACCGUACUUAACUACCGAGCUAGAGUGUCAGGAGGAGGUGGAAUUCGCGUGUAGCAGUGAAAUGCGUAGAUAUGCGUGAUAAUUCACCCAUGAUAUGAAGCAAGCCCCGGGAUAACACUGACGCUCAUGCACGAAAGCGUGGGAGCAAACAGGAUUAGAUACCCUGGUAGUCCACGCCCUAAACGAUGUCAACUAGCUGUUGGGGCCUUCGGGCCUGGUAGCGCAGCUAACGCGUGAAGUUGACCGCCUGGGGAUGAUGGUCGCAAGAUUAAAACUCAAAGGAAUUGACGGGGACCUGCACAAGUUGUGGAUGUGGAUUAAUUGAUGCAACGCGAAAACCUUACCUACCUGACAUGUCUGGAAUCCCGCGAAGAGAUUUGGGAGUGCUCGCAAAAGAGAACCUGAAUACAGGUGCUGCAUGGCGCCGUCGUCAGCUCGUGUCGAGAUGUUGGGUUAAGUCCCGGUAAACGAAAGCGCAACCCUUGUCAUUAGUUGCUGGGCUGAAAGGGCACUCUAAUGACUGCCGGUGACAAACCGAGGAAGGUGGGGAUGACGUCAAGUCCUCAUGGCCCUUAUGGGUAGGGCUUCACACGUCAUACAAUGGUCGGGACAGAGGGUCGCCGGAACUUUAGCGAGGGAGCUGAUCCAGAAACCCGAUCGGGGUCCGGAUCGCAGUCUGCAACUCGACUGCGAAGUCGGAAUCGCUAGUAAUCGCGGAUCAGCAUGUCGCAGUGAAUACGUUCCCGGGUCUUGUACACACCGCCCGUCACACCAUGGAUGGGGUUUUACCAGAAGUAGUUAGCCUAACCGUAAGGAGUGGCGAUUACCACGGUAGGAUCUUACAUGACUGGGGUGAAGUCAACAAGGUAA
Molecule: ribosomal RNA, 1481 nt
Filed under: uncultured Bordetella sp.
Lineage: Bacteria; Pseudomonadati; Pseudomonadota; Betaproteobacteria; Burkholderiales; Alcaligenaceae
Description: partial 16S-23S ribosomal RNA intergenic spacer
Rfam family: Bacterial small subunit ribosomal RNA
Source: RNAcentral